UACGUAGGGAGCAAGCGUUGUCCGGAAUCAUUGGGCGUAAAGCGCGCGUAGGCGGCCUCGUAAGUCCGUUGUGAAAGUCAAAGGCUCAACCUUUGAAAGCCGGUGGAUACUGUCUAGCUAGAGUCCGGAAGAGGCGAGUGGAAUUCCUGGUGUAGCGGUGGAAUGCGCAGAUAUCAGGAGGAACACCAACGGCGAAGGCAGCUCGCUGGGACGGUACUGACGCUAAGGCGCGAAAGCGUGGGGAGCGAACAGG
This 253-nucleotide ribosomal RNA is filed under the name uncultured bacterium. RNAcentral's name for it is "partial 16S ribosomal RNA". It matches the Rfam family "Bacterial small subunit ribosomal RNA", at positions 524 to 776 of the family's 1533-position model. The record is from RNAcentral.